This 435-nucleotide ribosomal RNA is filed under the name uncultured organism. RNAcentral's name for it is "bacterial SSU rRNA". It matches the Rfam family "Bacterial small subunit ribosomal RNA", at positions 29 to 507 of the family's 1533-position model. The record is from RNAcentral.
AACGAACGCUGGCGGCAGGCCUAACACAUGCAAGUCGAGCGCUCACCUUCGGGUGGGAGCGGCGCACGGGUGAGUAACACGUGGGAACCUACCUUGAAGUACGGAAUAACUGAGGGAAACUUCAGCUAAUACCGUAUACGCCCUACGGGGGAAAGAUUUAUCGCUUCAAGACGGGCCCGCGUUGGAUUAGCUAGUUGGUGAGGUAAUGGCUCACCAAGGCAACGAUCCAUAGCUGAUUUGAGAGAAUGAUCAGCCACACUGGGACUGAGACACGGCCCAGACUCCUACGGGAGGCAGCAGUGGGGAAUAUUGGACAAUGGGCGCAAGCCUGAUCCAGCCAUGCCGCGUGAGUGAUGAAGGCCUUCGGGUUGUAAAGCUCUUUCAGAUGGGACGAUGAUGACGGUACCAUCAGAAGAAGCCCCGGCUAACUUCGUG